Molecule: long non-coding RNA, 2749 nt
Filed under: Citrus sinensis (sweet orange)
Lineage: Eukaryota; Viridiplantae; Streptophyta; Magnoliopsida; Sapindales; Rutaceae
Description: long non-coding RNA (CSIN_LNC003142)
Source: RNAcentral
AUCACUCCAUCGCUCUCUCUCUCCCUCUCCCUUUCUCUCUCUCGACUUUCAUCUCUUUUUGGCUCCCAAUCACGCUUCCUCACUCUCUGGCUCACCAUCAUGCUUCUUCACUCUCUUCGACUACCAAACAUGGAAGCACUGUCAGUUUUAGAUUUGGAAGCAGAACCCAACCGCCACUCAUUUUACAGUAAGUGAUUAAAGCAAAUGAUAAAUUUUUAUUUUUUGUGCAUUCUUGGAUUAAUUUUGUGAAUUCCGUGGGUUUCAGUAUCUGUUGUUUGGUGGUAAUUGUUUGAUGAUAAAGAUGAAUUUUUUUUAGAAAAUUAAUUGUGUGGAAAUUGCUUUGAAAACUGUUGGAUUUUGGUUCAAAGUAAUAUAGAAUUGUUGUGAAAAUUACUAUGUGAAAAUUGCUAAAUUUUAGUUCAGAUGAUUUGCUGUAUUCUAGUAAUUUUGAGAGUUAGUAUGUGUGCUAGAAUUGAACUCCAGAUUUUGUUUAGAAAGAUGGCUAGCAAAUGUAGCACCUAUAAUUUCAAUAAAAUAAAAAAUUAUAAAAAUUGGAUAUUGUGAAACGUACUCAAGUCAAAUUGUUUCUGAGAAAUUAAAGUCCUGUUUUGAUUUGUACUUUCAAAUACACAAAGUAUACCAAAGUAAAAGAUUUUAAAGAAAUUAAUAAACUUCAUUCUUACCAUUUAAUGUGACUUAAAGGCCUAAUUAAUUAUACAAAAUUAAUGGUGGACAACGUAAAAGAAAAUAUUAAUUACAAUACUAAUCUGGGUCAUAUUUUCAUUGCAUAAUGGUCACACAAUUAUUGUAAUCUAUGCAUUUCAUAAUGACUAUGAUACUUGGCAUAAAUGAAUGCAAUAUUAAUGAUUUUAUUUCGACCAUAAAUAUUUUAUUUUAGAUUAUUCUUUUUUAAUUUUAUUGUCUAAUUACUUGAAUUUUCUUAAUUUCAUUGUCUAAUUACUCAGUUUUACAUGGAUAUCUUGUGAUAAUAUUACAUGUGAUUAAUUAAUUAUCUUAUUCAUUUUUUUAAUUUUAAUUUUUUUGACAAUUUUUUAUGUUUCUUAGCUGAAAAAUAUGAGUUGGGUGAAAAAUAUGAGUGUUGCAGAGUGCUUUGUGUUUUCAUACUCCCUUUUUUUUGGGCAGUUAAAAUAGUCUAUUAAUGACAAUGUCAUCUUGCACAAAUGAAACUCAAAACUCAUUACAAAUAUGUACCGAAUGUAGUGGCCAAAUGGAUUUGUUAAUGUCACGUACUACAAAUAAUCUAAAUCACAAAUUUUAGAAAUGUAGAAGAUGUAAAAACUUUCAAUGGACAGAAGAUUGUAAAUCUAACGAAGAGAAAAUUGACCUCCUAGUGGAGGAGGUUAUGAAGUUGACAUUGGAGAUUGAGUGUUUGUCUGUUAAAUUUCAAUUGUUUCAUAAAGAACUUGAGUAUAUGCAAUAAUGUGAAGUGCAGAGACGAUUGUUUGACGAUGAAUUUCAAAGGAGAUAAACAUGAGGAUAUGAUUUAAUUAGAAUACUUGUGAUUGUUGUACUAUGUUUUAUAUUAAAGUUUUAUUUUUAGGUUGUUUCAAUUUGCAUUAUCUACUGGGAAAACUUGUAGACAUAUAUAAUAAUAUUUUCACUCGAAAUAUAAGACUCUAAGUUCUUUCACUUUAUUCAAUUAGAAGUUAGAUUCAAAUUGUUGUUAUAAAAACUUUAUUUGAUGCCAAAAUAGCACAUAAUGAGUACAAGCACAUUGAAAUUGUAAUAAUUUAUGAUGUUCAAAAUUAUUAGGAAAUAUCAUUAAAAAAUUAUCAAAAAAGCCAGUAGACCAACAAAAAUUAUCUGAAAAAAAUAGCAAUAGUGCAAUGAUUAAUUCAUCACUACAAUUAGUCGUUUUAAGCUAAAUCUAAGCGAAAUAAUAGAGAAAAUAAUCUGAACAGAAUAAAAGUCAAAUAUCAAUUAUAAUGAUUGUUAUCUUCAUUACAUUAUCAAUGUAGCAAUUGUUGGAAAUACCUAUUUUCAGAUCCUUUGUACGUCAUCGAAAGAGAAGAAUAAUGUGAUUGCAAAGCAUAUCGUGGGACUGGUUGCUAUAAUACACAAAAAAUUAAAAACAUCAUAUUACAUUUUAGAAAUCUAAAAAUAUAAGUAUACAUUAGGAAACUGUGAUUUUAAGACGACAAUAUUGUGUGCAAAUUGUAAGGAAAUGGAUGAUAAAUAUUAUUUACACCAACUUGGGUUGGGUAUACAAGUACCAAGGUAAAUAAAAAAAUGUAAAAUUAAAAUUUCUUCAUGAAUUUAAUUCUUACAUUAUAGUAGUCUAAAGUCCCGUAGGUUGAGAUUUGCAUUAAUAGUACUUUCUUCCUGUAAUGUCUAUAUAUGCUAAAAAAGAUACUUAGUUACAUAUCUUCAAAAUGAAAGAGAAGUUUAAAAAUUCACAAACUUAUCAUGGCCACGUUGCUUUGUUGUGUGGAGAUUUCAUUAGGCACUUCAUAAGAUGAUGGAGCAUCUUUUUGUAAAUCUUGUAAAAAAUGACAAACAAUUAAAAGAAGAGAAUGAAAUUAGAAAACAAUUUUUGUAUUUAAACAAAACUUUUUUUUUCUGCAGUCUUCUUCUUUUGGGCAGAUUUCUUAUGAAUUGCAAAAAUAUUUCCUCAGACGAGGAGGAUGGCCUUUACAAAGUGCUGCUACUGGAUCAUUGAUUAUAUGUUCAACAUUGCUGCUGCUACAACUUAGUUCACUUGUAACAGUUGUUUUCACACUUGCACACC